This 130-nucleotide non-coding RNA is filed under the name Paracoccus sp. (in: a-proteobacteria). RNAcentral's name for it is "Paracoccus sp. FMN sequence". It matches the Rfam family "FMN riboswitch aptamer (RFN element)". From Rfam's summary of the family: The RFN element is a highly conserved domain that is found frequently in the 5'-untranslated regions of prokaryotic mRNAs that encode for flavin mononucleotide (FMN) biosynthesis and transport proteins. This element is a metabolite-dependent riboswitch that directly binds FMN in the absence of proteins. Lineage: Bacteria; Pseudomonadati; Pseudomonadota; Alphaproteobacteria; Rhodobacterales; Paracoccaceae. The record is from RNAcentral. RNAcentral also lists the same sequence under 1 other name.
GAUUGUUCUCAGGGCGGGGCGAAAUUCCCCACCGGCGGUGACAGCCCGCGAGCGCCUCUUUUCGGAGGGGGUCAGCAGAUCCGGUGAAAUUCCGGGGCCGACGGUAUAGUCCGGAUGGAAGAGAACCGUG